Molecule: ribosomal RNA, 870 nt
Filed under: uncultured bacterium
Lineage: Bacteria
Description: bacterial SSU rRNA
Rfam family: Bacterial small subunit ribosomal RNA
Source: RNAcentral
CAGGCCUAACACAUGCAAGUCGAGCGGAAACGCCGGAGUGCUUGCACUCCGGGCGUCGAGCGGCGGACGGGUGAGUAACGCGUGGGAAUUUACCCUUUGGCGGGGGAUAGCCCGGGGAAACUCGGAUUAAUACCGCAUAAGCCCUUUUGGGGAAAGACGGCCUCUGAUGCAAGCUGUCGCCGAAGGAUGAGCCCGCGUCAGAUUAGCUAGUUGGUGGGGUAAAGGCCUACCAAGGCCGCGAUCUGUAGCUGGUCUGAGAGGAUGAUCAGCCACAUCGGGACUGAGACACGGCCCGAACUCCUACGGGAGGCAGCAGUGGGGAAUCUUGGACAAUGGGCGCAAGCCUGAUCCAGCCAUGCCGCGUGUGUGAAGAAGGCCUUCGGGUUGUAAAGCACUUCCAGCGAGGAAGAAAAGGCAGGUGUUAAUACCACCCUGUUUUGACGGUACUCGCAGAAGAAGCACCGGCUAAUUUCGUGCCAGCAGCCGCGGUAAUACGAAAGGUGCAAGCGUUAAUCGGAAUUACUGGGCGUAAAGGGCGCGUAGGCGGCGCGUUCAGUCGGCUGUGAAAGCCCCGGGCUCAACCCGGGAAUUGCAUCCGAUACUGGCGUGCUAGAGUGCAGUAGAGGGAGGUAGAAUUCCAGGUGUAGCGGUGAAAUGCGUAGAGAUCUGGAGGAAUACCAGUGGCGAAGGCGGCCUCCUGGACUGACACUGACGCUGAGGCGCGAAAGCGUGGGUAGCAAACAGGAUUAGAUACCCUGGUAGUCCACGCCGUAAACGAUGUCAACUAGUCGUCGGGUUCCAUUGAGAACUUGGUGACGCAGCUAACGCGAUAAGUUGACCGCCUGGGGAGUACGGCCGCAAGGUUAAAAC